Molecule: ribosomal RNA, 240 nt
Filed under: uncultured bacterium
Lineage: Bacteria
Description: partial 16S ribosomal RNA
Rfam family: Bacterial small subunit ribosomal RNA
Source: RNAcentral
UAACCUGCCCAAGAGAUCGGGAUAACACCUGGAAACAGAUGCUAAUACCGGAUAACAACACUAGACGCAUGUCUAGAGUUUAAAAGAUGGUUCUGCUAUCACUCUUGGAUGGACCUGCGGUGCAUUAGCUAGUUGGUAAGGCAACGGCUUACCAAGGCAAUGAUGCAUAGCCAAGUUGAGAGACUGAUCGGCCACAUUGGGACUGAGACACGGCCCAAACUCCUACGGGAGGCAGCAGCC